RNAcentral lists this ribosomal RNA (468 nucleotides) under uncultured bacterium. RNAcentral describes it as "partial 16S ribosomal RNA". It matches the Rfam family "Bacterial small subunit ribosomal RNA", at positions 28 to 507 of the family's 1533-position model. The record is from RNAcentral.
GACGAACGCUGGCGGCGUGCUUAACACAUGCAAGUCGAACGGAAAGGCCCUGCUUUUGUGGGGUGCUCGAGUGGCGAACGGGUGAGUAACACGUGAGUAACCUGCCCUUGACUUUGGGAUAACUUCAGGAAACUGGGGCUAAUACCGGAUAGGAGCUCCUGCUGCAUGGUGGGGGUUGGAAAGUUUCGGCGGUUGGGGAUGGACUCGCGGCUUAUCAGCUUGUUGGUGGGGUAGUGGCUUACCAAGGGUUUGACGGGUAGCCGGCCUGGGAGGGUGACCGGCCACAUGGGGACUGAGAUACGGCCCAGACUCCUACGGGAGGCAGCAGUGGGGAAUAUUGCACAAUGGGCGGAAGCCUGAUGCAGCAACGCCGCGUGCGGGAUGACGGCCUUCGGGUUGUAAACCGCUUUCGCCUGUGACGAAGCGUGAGUGACGGUAAUGGGUAAAGAAGCACCGGCUAACUACGUG